AGCGAACCAGAGCAGCUCAUGGAAACUCCAUUUACCUUCCCGCUGGAGUGAUAGGAAGCGUUCGAGGCUUUGCAGAAAUGAAACCUCCUUUCAUUACGAGUCGGGUCUUUUUGUGCAAGGAUUGCUGAAGGUCUUUUGUUUGAAAGCUGGAUUGUCUCUGAAGAGGGUCUUCCUUGCCUAAUUCUUGUUGGUCCUCCACAG
This is a long non-coding RNA of Podarcis muralis (Common wall lizard), 201 nucleotides long. RefSeq lists it as uncharacterized. NCBI's taxonomy places the organism in Eukaryota, Metazoa, Chordata, Lepidosauria, Squamata, Lacertidae. The record is from RefSeq and is a predicted model, not a curated record.